GAAUCUUGCGCAAUUGGGGAAACCCUGACGCAGCGACGCCGCGUGGAGGACGAAGGCCUUCGGGUCGUAAACUCCUGUCAAGAGGGACGAAUGCUCCGGGGAUGAAUAAGCCCCGGGGUUGACGGUACCUCUGGAGGAAGCCCCGGCUACCCCCGUGCCAGCAGCCGCGGUAAUACGGAGGGGGCCAGCGUUGUUCGGAAUCAUUGGGCGUAAAGGGCGCGUAGGCGGCCAUGUAAGUCAGUUGUGAAAUCCCCCGGCUCAACCGGGGAACUGCGUCUGAGACUGCUUGGCUUGAGUCCCGGAGAGGGUAGUGGAAUUCCCAGUGUAGCGGUGAAAUGCGUAGAUAUUGGGAGGAACACCCGUGGCGAAGGCGGCUACCUGGACGGGUACUGACGCUGAGGCGCGAAAGCGUGGGGAGCAAACAGG
This 426-nucleotide ribosomal RNA is filed under the name uncultured bacterium. RNAcentral describes it as "bacterial SSU rRNA". It matches the Rfam family "Bacterial small subunit ribosomal RNA", at positions 359 to 776 of the family's 1533-position model. The record is from RNAcentral.